UCCAAAAAUCAUCUUCUUUGCGGUGGUGACUCUGCUGAGCUGCUGCCAGGCGUCAAGUUCCUUCUUAUCCCGCGUCACUCGAACAAGUGAUGCCAUCAUUAUUGACUUUCCUGACGCCUAUCCAUAUUCGAACUAGUUACUUCAAGCCAUGCGUUAUUUAAUGUACCAAUGCGUACCGCUUGGAAAUUUUUUAAAUAAAUAUUAACUCAAGCAAGCAAA
This is a long non-coding RNA of Daphnia pulicaria, 219 nucleotides long. RefSeq lists it as uncharacterized. The transcript is spliced from 2 exons. NCBI's taxonomy places the organism in Eukaryota, Metazoa, Arthropoda, Branchiopoda, Diplostraca, Daphniidae. The record is from RefSeq and is a predicted model, not a curated record.